GAUGAACGCUGGCGGCGUGCCUAAUACAUGCAAGUCGAGCGAACAGAUGAGGAGCUUGCUCCUCUGACGUUAGCGGCGGACGGGUGAGUAACACAUGGAUAACCUACCUAUAAGACUGGGAUAACUUCGGGAAACCGGAGCUAAUAACGGAUAAUAUAUUCAACCGCAUGGUUCAAUAGUGAAAGACGGUUUUGCUGUCACUUAGAGAUGGAUCCGCGCUGCAUUGGCUAGGUGGUAAGGUAACGGCUUACCAAGGCAACGGUGCGUAGCCGACCUGAGAGGGGUCUCGGCCACAGUGGGACAGCGACCCUAUCCAGACUGCUACGGGGGGCAGCAGUAGAGAAUCGGCCGAAAGGGGCGAAAGUCUGCCAGAGCAACGCCGCGUGUGUAGUAACGGUCUGCGGGGCAUAAAGCUCUUUUAGUGGGAAAGAACAAGUGGGUGAGUAGCUACGCGUGUUGAGGGUACCCGUAGAAGAAGCACCGGGUAACUCCGUG
Molecule: ribosomal RNA, 495 nt
Filed under: uncultured bacterium
Lineage: Bacteria
Description: partial 16S ribosomal RNA
Rfam family: Bacterial small subunit ribosomal RNA
Source: RNAcentral